GGAAUCCCAUGUUCUCCACUGGACUUGUUUCUUUAAUUCAUUUCUCCAGAGGCCCCGCUCCAUGCCAGGACCACACCAGCAAGGGGACUGGGGAAAGUGUGUUCCCAGGCUCCGGUACAGAUGUCUUGCAUUUCCUGUGCUGCUUUAUGUGCUGCCUCCUCAGAGCUCGUCAAACUGGGAAGGGGUCCGAGGAGGAAUGCGGUGCACACACACCAUCAGAACCUCGCUGGGACCCUGGGACAAAGCCUGAGGAAGAGCCCCGCCCACUGCUCCCAGGUCAGGCACACGUGACUUCGGUUUCACAGGGUCCUGCAGCACUAUGAUAAACCAUAAUUCAGCGACAUUAUAUUUAAAAGAAUAGGGAUUUUAAAAAUGGAGAGAGGAUGCAAAAGGAUCCCUAUUGCCCUGAGAUCCACAGUGUCAUCCAGCUGCCAUUAGGUGCAUCUUAAGUUGUUCGAAGCUGCUGACCCGAGAAGCAAGCCAGACCGAGCACCUCCUCACAGGAUAGGAAGCAGCCUGAGCCCUGGGGGUUAAGUGGAUUAACUCCCUCCAUCACCUGAGCAAAAGAAGACAGAGACCAGGGUGCCCUCUUCCGAGCAGACCCACCUGAUGGAAGCAGGCAAACUCUUCCCUCUCACGUACAGAUAUUAUGCAGCUCCAUUCUCUGUCCGGAUUCAAGUUUGGAGAAGUUAACCCAUUUCCUGGUGGAUCAGUCUGUACACUUCCGGGGACGAGCUGAUGACGUACAGAAGAAAAUAUACCUUUGGGUUAAAAAGACAGUAAAGUUAAAAGAAAGAGAAUACAAGCUCUUUAUUGAUUUUCUUGCCAGUAUGUUUCUCCUAUUUAAGCAGAAAUCGGAGAGUUUUGCCACAUCUCUUCUUUUCUAGGUAUUUUGUUGAUUGUUCUUUCCUUCAAAUAGUAACUUCAACACCAGCUGAAUUAAAACCAAAUCUGUUUUCGUAGGAACACGAGUAUAUGUAUGUAUAUGCAUGACUGGGACAUUAUGCUGUAUGCCAGAAACUGACACAGUGUAACUGACUAUACUUCAAUUAAGAAAAAAAAAAUCUGAUUUACAUACGAGGUGACCAAAAAGAGUUAAAUCUGAAUGUCUCCCAUGUGAAGGGAGAGUCACCUCCCUUCUUGCCUGGGUCCUAAGUCCUUCCUCUGCCCGUCUUCCUCAUCUCACUGUGUCUUUCCCAGAAUGUUCUGGAUGAAGGGAAUAGGAGAGUAUGCAACUCAGUGUGCUCCCAACCACGUGCUGAGAUGCCUUCUUCCCCUGAGGCAAAGGUGCUUAAGACAAAACCUGAAACUGUAAAGAAAGGGAAAUCCUAACAUAAAUAUCACUUCUCAGCUAUGAUUCAUUCUCCUUUCUUUCCUUCUUUCUCAUAAACACAUGCAUAUUCACUUAAAGCAGCCUUAGGUUCCAGAAGUGAAGACAUUCUUAAGAAAGGAAAGUUUGCAAACUGAACAUCCCAUGACCUCUGCCCUGAUUACUGUGUAACUGCUGGCAGGUCAUUGUCUUUAAACAAGAGAAUGAGCAUCUCAGUGAUUAAUGAAGGUUUUCUUGACUGGCAGGGGGCCUUACCCAGAUGGUAACAGAAUUUUCCACCAACGUCUUAGUUUUAGAAUGAAAAUAGUAGAGAAAGGAAAAAAAUAUGCCAGUGCUUACAGAUUUGUUUCAAGCUCGUUGCUUUUGGACACGCUAAGGGUUUGUGUAAUUUUGGUGAUUACCAUUAUUCACUUGACUGUUUUCCAAUUACUAAAUCAAAAUUUCCUUUUGAGUUUGAAUUUGACCUCUCUGAUAUUCACAAAUGGGUCACCCAAUCGAAAUCAUAUUUUUCAAAGUGCCGUAAGUAAGAUUUUCAGAGACCACUUUGUUGAGUACCAGUCUCUCUCUGCUAAAUUACAAACUACCCCCACCCCUGGAAAUACCUUCGAUCUGCAAUCUGUUCUCUUUUAUGGCCCCCAGCAUGGCAAAGUUUGCCAAAACGGCCACUACAACUUUGGUUUCUCAUCUUAUUGCAAAGAAGACACCAAAUUACACGGCCCGCUAAGAGGAAGAAGUGAGUUGCCUUCACAGCUUUGUGGCAAUAAUGAGCCCUCCUGAGAAUGUGCUUACCUCCCAGCUGAUGAUCAGAGGUGGCAAAGCUGGUCUUUUCCACCAUCUCUCUUUCUCUUUCAGUCACUCAACGCCAAUCUACCACACCCACCCAACCCCUAGACACAUUUUCCCGCUUUUCAUUUUCCCAGAGAAAACACGGCUUCUUUGGAAAUCAACCAGUCCUCUUUCACCUUUAAGAGAAAUUUGCUUAUUGUGAUGCAUGCCACUAGCUGUACACCCAUAUCUCUUUUCCCAUUUUUCCCGAGCGCAGACCCUGACUGCAUCUCCCAGAUUCCCUUGUGUUCCCUGUGAGCAUGUGACUGAGCUCUAGCCAAUGAAAUCACGAGGGCUGCUUCCUCUCAGUUUUGCUCCUCCAUGUCUUCUUGUCUUUAAGGCUGACUGGGGUUGGGAUCCCCUCAGGGUAACUUUGCAAGCACCAACUUGACAGCUGCAGACCUGCUCUCAUCCUGGAGUCCUCGAAUGACCCCAUGGAGCAGAGACCCCCUUCCCUCACUAUUCACAGACUUGAAACCAUCCCAGGACAUUAAGUGAUUGAGAGAUAAACUGCUGCUGUGUUGAGUGCUUC
Molecule: non-coding RNA, 2687 nt
Organism: Vicugna pacos (alpaca)
Lineage: Eukaryota; Metazoa; Chordata; Mammalia; Artiodactyla; Camelidae
Source: RefSeq, a predicted model, not a curated record